Molecule: long non-coding RNA, 1216 nt
Filed under: Parus major (Great Tit)
Lineage: Eukaryota; Metazoa; Chordata; Aves; Passeriformes; Paridae
Description: lncRNA (ENSPMJG00000011575.1)
Source: RNAcentral
GGAUAAGUGAAGUGUACACAGAGGAGGGAGAGAACAACAAGAAAGACAGUAGCAAAUAAUGUACCAUAUUAUUCUUCAGAUACACUUAUUUUUAACUACUUGCAAAAAUGCCUUGUCCAUUGCUAAAGUAGAGGAGGACAAUUACACUACAGCAGAAUUAAGAGAAUGAUGCAGCAGCUGUAUUGUUUUGCGCUGCUGUUGCAACAUGUAUGUGUAAAAUCAGUGUGGACAAAAUUCCUACUGCCUGAACAAAAUUUGUAUGUAUUGAGCAGUCUGAACUCCACAGUUGGGGAGAGCCUUUCACUGCCAGAACGUGACAGGAAGGAGAAGCCGCUUCUGGCAGAGACACAUGAUGAAAUUAAUUCCCGUUCAUUGAGCUCAUCUUACUGUUCUUUCAUUUUUGCCUCAAGGACCUGGAGUUAGAAUCUCCACAGUGAGUAACUUCUUGAUAGUGAAGCAUCAAAAUUUGCUUUUGUAUUUUAUCUAAAUGAUUUUAUUCCCUGGUAAAGACAUAGGAUUUGUAAGGUAAAUGCAACCAAAAAUUCUGCUAAGUCAUUGGAACUUAAAUGUUUUAUUUUGUUGUUUUUUAAACACUGAUUUCCAUUUCCAGCUCUUCAGAAUGAAAAGCAAGUAUCCCUUGCAUUUGCCUCUAUUUUCAGGAUGUCAGACUGGACAUGCAGCUGCCAUUCCUUCCAUGGAAACAGCUUUGUGCAGCAGGGCUAUGUAUCUCACCUCUCAGAAAGCUUUUAACUUUAGCUAGAUGGUCUGUGCUACCAGCUGGUGGAGAGUCUGAGUAGUCUGCCCUUAGAAGAAAACUCUUGUUGGGCAGUAGUAGCCUUCCAUGCCCAGCUUCCCACCAUGAAACAUCUGUGCUCCCUUCAAGACAAAUCUGGAUCAUUUCACCCCACAUAAUCCUAGAGCAACAUUGUGGAAUAAGUUAGGUCAGAAGGAAACCCUGGAGGUCUCUAGCCCAGCCUCUAGUCUGGCAAGGCUUAUAAAGAACUUUUUCUAGGUGGGUUUUGAGUAAAUACAAGCAUCUGAUCGGGUCUCGUCUACACGAGAUAACACGGAGCCUGCUGUUUCCCAGGUGGAGCAAGCCCAGCUUUCCCAGCCUCUCAUUGUGGAUGGUGUGCUUCAGCCUCUGGACCAUCUUUGUGGUUCUGCACUGGUCUGGCUCCAGAUUGUCAGCAAGUCUCCAGUACUGGGGUGCCCAGAG